UAGUGCCUCCUUCCUUGUCAGGGGUCAUUUCUAUAGUAUGUUACUAGAGAAGUCGCUGUGAUCAUGUGGAGUGCCAGAGACCACAAGGAAUAGUGUUUUUUCCUGAGUGUCAAGUUGCAUCAUGGUGUUGUUGCUUGAGUACAACUGCCACCUUGAUCCGGCCCGCCAGUCAAUCUGUGGGUCUCACCUGGUGGAUGAACGGGGUGGG
This is a small nucleolar RNA of Cavia porcellus (domestic guinea pig), 208 nucleotides long. It matches the Rfam family "Small nucleolar RNA U3". From Rfam's summary of the family: Small nucleolar RNAs (snoRNAs) are involved in the processing and modification of rRNA in the nucleolus. There are two main classes of snoRNAs: the box C/D class, and the box H/ACA class. NCBI's taxonomy places the organism in Eukaryota, Metazoa, Chordata, Mammalia, Rodentia, Caviidae. The record is from Rfam.